RNAcentral lists this ribosomal RNA (400 nucleotides) under uncultured bacterium. Its description in RNAcentral is "bacterial SSU rRNA". It matches the Rfam family "Bacterial small subunit ribosomal RNA", at positions 359 to 776 of the family's 1533-position model. The record is from RNAcentral.
GAAUCUUGGACAAUGGGCGCAAGCCUGAUCCAGCCAUGCCGCGUGAGUGAAGAAGGCCUUAGGGUUGUAAAACUCUUUCGCCGGAGAAGAUAAUGACGGUAUCCGGAGAAGAAGCCCCGGCUAACUUCGUGCCAGCAGCCGCGGUAAUACGAAGGGGGCUAGCGUUGUUCGGAAUUACUGGGCGUAAAGCGUACGUAGGCGGAUUUGUAAGUAGGGGGUGAAAUCCCCAGGCUCAACCUGGGAACUGCCUUCUAGACUGCAAGUCUCGAGAUCAGGAGAGGCGAGUGGAAUUCCGAGUGUAGAGGUGAAAUUCGUAGAUAUUCGGAGGAACACCAGUGGCGAAGGCGACUCGCUGGACUGAUACUGACGCUGAGGUACGAAAGCGUGGGGAGCAAACAGG